RNAcentral lists this unclassified non-coding RNA (503 nucleotides) under Hevea brasiliensis (rubber tree). The record is from RNAcentral. Lineage: Eukaryota; Viridiplantae; Streptophyta; Magnoliopsida; Malpighiales; Euphorbiaceae.
GACAAAGAUGCCAUUAAGUUGGAUAGCAUUAUUUGGUUUGAUAACCAAGUCUUCUACAGUGUCAAACUUGAACUUUUAGGUAGGACUUAGGAGGGGGGAUUCUCAGUGGCAUCAAUUAGUCUGGAAGUUAGGGUUAUAAAAUCCUUGAUUUUUUUUGAGUUCUUUUGUGAAAAUACCAGGAAGUCUACCUGUUUCACAUGUUUUUGAGAAGUGCUAAUGAACCACAAAAAGCACUUUAGCCAAAUUUACAAUUGUGGUCCCUUCUUUGGAAAUGCACUAUUAGGGCCUCUACUUCCAUUCCUUAAAAAGGUUUUUUGAUAUGGACCUAAAUAUCCAUAUUACACUAGUCAAAGUCCAAGGCUAGAUAGAAAACUGAAUCUUACACACAACCAACUGUUUUAGGACCACAUCCAGAACACUUUCAGAAUUCACUUAAGCAAAGCCAAUUCUGCUACCCUUUUCCCCCUAACACAAAAAGAGAGAAAGAAAUAGGACCACUCAGC